Molecule: unclassified non-coding RNA, 187 nt
Filed under: uncultured Malassezia
Lineage: Eukaryota; Fungi; Basidiomycota; Malasseziomycetes; Malasseziales; Malasseziaceae
Description: sequence contains ITS1
Source: RNAcentral
GUGAAGAUUUGGGCAGGCCAUACGGACGCCAAAAAGUGUCCCUGGCCGCCUACACCCACUAUACAUCCACAAACCCGUGUGCACUGUCUUGGAGAAAGGCUUCAGAGAAGUUUUUUGUGGCCUCUCUUGGGGUCUUUCUUCGCUACAAACAUUAAAGUAACAAACGUAGUCUUAUUAUAAUCUAAUA